UAGGGAAUCUUCCACAAUGGACGAAAAGUACUGAUGGAGCAACGCCGCGUGAGUGAAGAAGGGUUUCGGCUCGUAAAACUCUGUUGUUAAAGAAGAACAUAUCUGAGAGUAACUGUUCAGGUAUUGACGGUAUUUAACCAGAAAGCCGCGGCUAACUACGUGCCAG
This 166-nucleotide ribosomal RNA is filed under the name uncultured bacterium. Its description in RNAcentral is "partial 16S ribosomal RNA". It matches the Rfam family "Bacterial small subunit ribosomal RNA", at positions 355 to 511 of the family's 1533-position model. The record is from RNAcentral.